UGAAUCUGGCUAUAUUUUUUACUCAAAAAACAAGCAUAUUUUCAAAUGGCAUUCUGCACAGUCAGUCAUCUAUCUGUGCUUGAUGCCACUAUUCUUCACAAAAUGUGAUAAUAAUAAUGUUAUCUGUUAACAUAAAAACAAAGUUUGACUCCACUGAAACAGCUUGAAAUGGAUAACCACAAUAUGCUUCAGUCUCUUAGGAACACACUGUUUGACAUAUACUGUUAAAAGUUCCUCAUAUUUAGGAAUUCUUUUAAGCAAAAUACUUGUGCUGAGUCUCUGCUGGUGUGCCUGGAGGAAAAUUCAUUUCCCAGUGGUAACAUGG
Molecule: long non-coding RNA, 325 nt
Organism: Patagioenas fasciata monilis
Lineage: Eukaryota; Metazoa; Chordata; Aves; Columbiformes; Columbidae
Rfam family: Prostate cancer antigen RNA 3 conserved region 2
Source: Rfam